UACGUAGGGUGCGAGCGUUAAUCGGAAUUACUGGGCGUAAAGUGUGCGCAGGUGGCUUCGCAAGUCGAGUGUGAAAUCCCCGGGCUUAACCUGGGAAUUGCGCUCGAAACUACGGAGCUCGAGUGUGGCAGAGGAAGGUGGAAUUCCACGUGUAGCGGUGAAAUGCGUAGAGAUGUGGAGGAACACCAAUGGCGAAGGCAGCCUUCUGGGCCAACACUGACACUCAUGCACGAAAGCGUGGGGAGCAAACAGG
RNAcentral lists this ribosomal RNA (253 nucleotides) under uncultured bacterium. RNAcentral's name for it is "partial 16S ribosomal RNA". It matches the Rfam family "Bacterial small subunit ribosomal RNA", at positions 524 to 776 of the family's 1533-position model. The record is from RNAcentral.